Molecule: long non-coding RNA, 811 nt
Organism: Gossypium arboreum
Lineage: Eukaryota; Viridiplantae; Streptophyta; Magnoliopsida; Malvales; Malvaceae
Exons: 4
Source: RefSeq, a predicted model, not a curated record
AAUAAACUAUGUGGAUAUGUAUUAAAUUUUUACGAAAUGGUGCCAUUUUGUUAGCCCCAAAACCCCAAUUUCUUUUCCCCAAAUUAGUUCCCUCCUCCUCGAAAUCCCUAAAUGUUUUUCCCAGAUUCAUUUCUUUUUUCCCCAAUUUCUUUUCCCAAACCAGUUCCCCCUCUCCCCGAAAUCCCUAAGUUUCUUUCCCAGACCCCUUUCUUUUUUCCCCAAUUCCUUUUCCCUAAAUCAAUUCCCCCUCCCCGAAAUCCCAAAGUUUUUUCCCAAAUCCCUUUCAUUUUUCCCCAAUUUCUUUUCCCCAAAUCAGUUCCCCCUUCCCGAUAUAUGCGCAAAAUUGAUAUUUUGUUGAAGAAGAUAAAGAUUGGUGAUUGCUUUUGGUACAGAGAUAUAUAUCAUUUCAUUUGUUCCUUGUUCUCGAUUUGAGAUAGGCAAGGUUUACAAGGUUUUUGUCACUUUCUCCAACAUGAAUUGCUUCCAUUCCUAGCUGAUCAAGAAAGACGCGGAAUUGAUCUCGAGCGGGAAGGAAAAAGUUUUGGAUUAAAUUGCAAAAUUUCCACAUUUUGCACCAAGUGUUCUCCGGCUUGCUCAGGAGUUAAGGAUCGUGAAGAUCUAUCCGCACUAUCCUACUUUAGGGUAUUUGAACUAAACGUUUUGAAUUAUGGCAUGUAUAGUAGGCUUAAUUAUUUUGUUACGUGUCAUAUUUGUCUAGGUUUAAAAUAUUAGUUCUGAUGCUCGACCAGCUAAUUUGUACAAGCCAUUAAAGUUGGCUAAUAUUGUUCAAGACAUAUUUAUAUUUCGAUUA